AGCCGAAACCGCCCCCAGCGGGCGGUACGGCGGGGGUGCCUCCCCGCUGCUGACGAGGCAGGCAGAC
This 67-nucleotide non-coding RNA is filed under the name Actinomycetota bacterium. The record is from RNAcentral. Lineage: Bacteria; Bacillati; Actinomycetota.